UACGUAGGGUCCAAGCGUUAUCCGGAAUCACUGGGCGUAAAGCGUUUGUAGGCGGAAGUUUAAGUGAGAUGCGAAAUCUUGUGGCUCAACCAUAUAGACUGUAUCUCAUACUGGGCUUCUAGAAUAUAGCAGAGGUAAGUGGAAUUAGUAGUGUAGCGGUAAAAUGCGUAGAUAUUACUAGGAACACCAAUGGCGAAGGCAGCUUACUGGGCUAUUAUUGACGCUGAGAAACGAAAGCGUGGGGAGCGAACAGGAUUAGAUACCCUGGUAGUCCACGCCGUAAACGAUGUGUGCUAUUAGUUCGAGGUAUCGACCCCUUGGGCUGAACAGCUAACGCGUUAAGCACACCGCCUGGGGAGUACGAGCGCAAGCUUAAA
This 377-nucleotide ribosomal RNA is filed under the name uncultured bacterium. RNAcentral's name for it is "bacterial SSU rRNA". It matches the Rfam family "Bacterial small subunit ribosomal RNA", at positions 524 to 898 of the family's 1533-position model. The record is from RNAcentral.